CUAAAUGUCGCUGCCACAAAAAGUGCUAAUGUGGAGAGGAUGACCAUCAUGGGUGUCGGUGGGAAGACCGUGCCAGCGUCGGUUUCGGUUCGGUUGGAUCCCAUGGCUGGGCUUGGAUCCGGUACCAGGUACCUCUCCUGCGUCCUAAGCAAGAUAGAUUUGGUAGUAGCAGCCACUUCGCCGUCGGGCAGCCGGUUGGCGAAGGUGACGGUGCAGUUGUAUUCAGUGUCCGGAAGCAGACCCUUGAAUGUCUGUGUGGACGACUUCCCUCCGUGGUCAUCGCAGGUGAAGUUUCGCUCGUUGAGCGGACCAGAAAGCGUACCGUAGCACAUAUCCAGGGGCCCAUUCUUGUGUUCUGGCGCAACGGCUACAACUUCGAGAGACGUAGGACUAGUGGCGGUACCCCAGAGUUCAAAAUCGCCUGGCGCUAUGAAUAAACUUACCUUCGAAAUGGCAGCAAACAGUAGAAAUACAGUCACGACGCCCCGAACAGUCCAUUGCCUCUCAGAAGUUUCUCGCCUAAACGCUGCCAUGGUGAAGACAGAUUACCGAAUGCAGAGAAGCACAACUGCAGCAGUUCUCGACUCGACGACCUACUUGAGUGUGCUAGGAUCUUUGAAGCGAGCGACCUUAUCCGACGAAUAGAGUGCAAAGUGCGCGCGUUCGCUGAGGCCGAUUUUAUAUUACUGUUGACUGUCUCCCCUAUGAGUGUGACGAGAGUGUUGCUCAUGCCUUGCGGAGACGCA
Long non-coding RNA from Rhipicephalus sanguineus (brown dog tick), 746 nucleotides. RefSeq lists it as uncharacterized. The transcript is spliced from 3 exons. The record is from RefSeq and is a predicted model, not a curated record. NCBI's taxonomy places the organism in Eukaryota, Metazoa, Arthropoda, Arachnida, Ixodida, Ixodidae.